This 825-nucleotide ribosomal RNA is filed under the name Micrococcus luteus. RNAcentral's name for it is "bacterial SSU rRNA". It matches the Rfam family "Bacterial small subunit ribosomal RNA", at positions 34 to 871 of the family's 1533-position model. Lineage: Bacteria; Bacillati; Actinomycetota; Actinomycetes; Micrococcales; Micrococcaceae. The record is from RNAcentral.
CGCUGGCGGCGUGCUUAACACAUGCAAGUCGAACGAUGAAGCCCAGCUUGCUGGGUGGAUUAGUGGCGAACGGGUGAGUAACACGUGAGUAACCUGCCCUUAACUCUGGGAUAAGCCUGGGAAACUGGGUCUAAUACCGGAUAGGAGCGUCCACCGCAUGGUGGGUGUUGGAAAGAUUUAUCGGUUUUGGAUGGACUCGCGGCCUAUCAGCUUGUUGGUGAGGUAAUGGCUCACCAAGGCGACGACGGGUAGCCGGCCUGAGAGGGUGACCGGCCACACUGGGACUGAGACACGGCCCAGACUCCUACGGGAGGCAGCAGUGGGGAAUAUUGCACAAUGGGCGCAAGCCUGAUGCAGCGACGCCGCGUGAGGGAUGACGGCCUUCGGGUUGUAAACCUCUUUCAGUAGGGAAGAAGCGAAAGUGACGGUACCUGCAGAAGAAGCACCGGCUAACUACGUGCCAGCAGCCGCGGUAAUACGUAGGGUGCGAGCGUUAUCCGGAAUUAUUGGGCGUAAAGAGCUCGUAGGCGGUUUGUCGCGUCUGUCGUGAAAGUCCGGGGCUUAACCCCGGAUCUGCGGUGGGUACGGGCAGACUAGAGUGCAGUAGGGGAGACUGGAAUUCCUGGUGUAGCGGUGGAAUGCGCAGAUAUCAGGAGGAACACCGAUGGCGAAGGCAGGUCUCUGGGCUGUAACUGACGCUGAGGAGCGAAAGCAUGGGGAGCGAACAGGAUUAGAUACCCUGGUAGUCCAUGCCGUAAACGUUGGGCACUAGGUGUGGGGACCAUUCCACGGUUCCGCGCCGCAGCUAACGCAUUAAGUGCCCCG